AGAGCGAACGCUGGCGGCAGGCCUAACACAUGCAAGUCGAGCGCCCGUAGCAAUACGGGAGCGGCAGACGGGAUAGUAACACGUGGGAACGCGCCCUUCGGUUCGGAAUAACUCAGGGAAACUUGAGCUAAUACCGGAUACGCCCUUACGGGGAAAGAUUUAUUGCCGAAGGAACGGCCCGCGUCCGAUUAGCUAGUUGGUGAGGUAAUGGCCCACCAAGGCGACGAUCGGUAGCUGGUCUGAGAGGAUGACCAGCAUCACUGGGACUGAGACACGGCCCAGACUCCUACGGGAGGCAGCAGUGGGGAAUAUUGGACAAUGGGCGCAAGCCUGAUCCAGCCAUGCCGCGUGGAUGAUGAAGGCCUUAGGGUUGUAAAGUCCUUUAACGGGGAAGAUAAUGACGGUACCGUAGAAUAAGCCCGGCUAACUUCGCGCCAGCAGCCGC
RNAcentral lists this ribosomal RNA (445 nucleotides) under uncultured bacterium. RNAcentral's name for it is "SSU rRNA". It matches the Rfam family "Bacterial small subunit ribosomal RNA", at positions 26 to 518 of the family's 1533-position model. The record is from RNAcentral.